UUAAUUUAUUAUUAAAAUUCCUAUAUAUUUUUCAAUACUAGGAGUAUUUAUUUUUACUCCUAUGCUUCCUUCCUUCCUUCCUUCCUUCCUUCCUUCCUUCCUUCCUUCCUUCCUUCCUUCCUUCCUUCCUUCCUUCCUUCCUUCCUUCCUUCCUUCCUUCCUUCCUUCCUUCCUUCCUUCCUUUUGCCCUUUCUUCCCUUCUCC
RNAcentral lists this long non-coding RNA (204 nucleotides) under Monodelphis domestica (gray short-tailed opossum). Its description in RNAcentral is "lncRNA (ENSMODG00000038334.1)". The record is from RNAcentral. Lineage: Eukaryota; Metazoa; Chordata; Mammalia; Didelphimorphia; Didelphidae.